Molecule: unclassified non-coding RNA, 298 nt
Filed under: Hevea brasiliensis (rubber tree)
Lineage: Eukaryota; Viridiplantae; Streptophyta; Magnoliopsida; Malpighiales; Euphorbiaceae
Source: RNAcentral
UGCCAGCAUGUCCUUAGUCACUAGAUUUUGAUAUUCUGCCAUAAGUGGCUGCAAAGCUCGAGUAUCCCCAAAUGGCUCUCCUCCUGCAAUGUAUAUUCGUGCAUUGCUUGGGGCCCCUAAAGCCUUUAAAAGCCUUGAUAUUUCUAAUGCGUUGAGGGGACAAAGACCAGCAAGUUUUCGCUCAGUGUGGCUCGUGUUUAACCUUCCAGUCAGAUAUUCAGGUUGAGACUCCCGAACUUCAGCAAUAAUUUUGUCAUAUUCUGGGCCUAAACCAGUAAGACAUCCACUUCUGACCCAG